ACGGCAGCUGGGCGGGGACACAGCGGCCUUGGGUUUGGGCUCCAGCCCCAGCCGGGCCCCCUCGCGCCGCUGCGGCUGCUGCGCGGUGAGGUCGUGACAAGUCACAGCUAACUUGCCCUCCGCGCCAUUCCACGCCACCAGGAAGCGCAGCCGGUGCCUCUCGGCAUCGGCGAAGAGGCCUUGCCGGACCGGCGCCCAGCCCUCCAGGCUGUCGAGCUGCUCGUCCUCCAUGGCCGUCGGCGGCAGCGGCCCUAGGACUCGGCGGGCGCGGGCCUGACCUCGCCGCACUGCCUGUCAGGGGACAGUCCCAGGCAUAACUGAAGGUGAAAGGACAGAAUCACCAUGUGUUACUGGCACAGAUGCAUCGGCUAGUGAAGAAAGAAGACAUUCAAACUAGUCCCGCUCUGUCGCCCAGUCUGGAGUGCAGCAGCGCCAUCAUAGCUCACUGCCACCUAGAAGCCGGGGUGAAGCAAUCCUCCUCCAUCAGCCUUCAGAGUAGCUGGGACUACCUGCGCGGCCCACCACACCCGGCUAAUCUUUGUGGUUUUUGUUUUGUUUUCC
Molecule: long non-coding RNA, 561 nt
Filed under: Homo sapiens (human)
Lineage: Eukaryota; Metazoa; Chordata; Mammalia; Primates; Hominidae
Description: HSALNT0380400
Source: RNAcentral